RNAcentral lists this ribosomal RNA (465 nucleotides) under uncultured Klebsiella sp. RNAcentral's name for it is "bacterial SSU rRNA". It matches the Rfam family "Bacterial small subunit ribosomal RNA", at positions 338 to 795 of the family's 1533-position model. Lineage: Bacteria; Pseudomonadati; Pseudomonadota; Gammaproteobacteria; Enterobacterales; Enterobacteriaceae. The record is from RNAcentral.
CCUACGGGUGGCUGCAGUGGGGAAUAUUGCACAAUGGGCGCAAGCCUGAUGCAGCCAUGCCGCGUGUGUGAAGAAGGCCUUCGGGUUGUAAAGCACUUUCAGCGGGGAGGAAGGCGGUGAGGUUAAUAACCUCAUCGAUUGACGUUACCCGCAGAAGAAGCACCGGCUAACUCCGUGCCAACAGCCGCGGUAAUACGGAGGGUGCAAGCGUUAAUCGGAAUUACUGGGCGUAAAGCGCACGCAGGCGGUCUGUCAAGUCGGAUGUGAAAUCCCCGGGCUCAACCUGGGAACUGCAUUCGAAACUGGCAGGCUAGAGUCUUGUAGAGGGGGGUAGAAUUCCAGGUGUAGCGGUGAAAUGCGUAGAGAUCUGGAGGAAUACCGGUGGCGAAGGCGGCCCCCUGGACAAAGACUGACGCUCAGGUGCGAAAGCGUGGGGAGCAAACAGGAUUAGAUACCCGGGUAGUC